Hypanus sabinus (Atlantic stingray) is the source of this 1647-nucleotide long non-coding RNA. RefSeq lists it as uncharacterized. The transcript is spliced from 4 exons. NCBI's taxonomy places the organism in Eukaryota, Metazoa, Chordata, Chondrichthyes, Myliobatiformes, Dasyatidae. The record is from RefSeq and is a predicted model, not a curated record.
GCAGAAAAUGCCGGAGGAACUCAGCAACUUUGGAAAGGAAUAACGAGUUAACUUUCCAAAUCAAGACCCUUGCUGGUGAAGGGUCCAGGCCUGAAACUUUGACUGCUUAUUCCCCUCCACAGGUGCUGCCCGACCUGCUGAGUUCCUCCAGCAUUUUGUGUGUGUUGCUCUGGAUUUCCAGCAUCCGCAGAGUCUUUGUUUACGGGGAGCAGCUCCCCAGCCCAGGGGAAGGUUGAUCAGGACACCUUGGUGGUUCUCCACCAGCCAGGUCCCAAGGGUGCUGGGUCAGCGUGUUCCGCAUGUUGAAUGUGUAGGGAGUGAGUGGCACAGCAGCUAGUCACCGUUCCACACACUCCCAACCACCCUGACCUCCGGCGUGGAGUGUGUGUGUGUCAUCCCAUGGUCACUAGUGAGGUACCUGGCCACUGUAAAGGGCAGAGGAGUGGUGUGGGAUCCUGACCAGGGAGGCAAAAUACCAUUAAUCAGCAUGGAUAACGACCUCUGCAUUCGGCCCUCUCCCUUGGACCGCAGACCGUGCAGCUUCCGCCACCAGUCACGGACAUUUCAGAAGAGCACGGUUAGCGCAAUUCCGCACAGUGCCAGUGGUCUGCGAUGGGGGUCCGGUUUCCAGCACUGCCCGUAAGGAGUUUGUAAGCUCCCCGUGACCGUGUGGGUUUCGUCCGGCAGUUCCUGCUUCCGCCCACAGUCUGAGAGUUAGUAAUUCAUGGGUACGCAGAAACCCGGUGACCGUUGCGGGCCGCCCCCGGCACGUCCUUGUGUCCUUGAACUGUGCUGGUCAUCGAUGCAAUUCACUGACAAACAGGGCUAAUCUUUAACCAGAGCCAAUGCAACAAACACCAACUCUGCACGGCAUACCUUAACUGGGCGUUGCCUCGGCCUGCGGGCCUGAGUCACAAGGAAAGAUUGAAUAGAAUUGGACUUCAUUCCCAGGUUGCAUCACCACCUGGAAUGGCACAGGGGGCAGUGAGGGACCACCCCUCCCACCAUCGGUAGUAUCUACAGGAGACACUGUCACAAGAAGGCAACACCCAAAGAUCCUCACCAUCCGGACCACGUCACCCUCUCGCAGCUCCCAUUGGGCAGGAGGUACAGAAACCUGAGGCCCCACACCUCAGGUUCAAACACAACUACUUCCCUUCAGCCAUUCUGUUCUUAAGCCGACCAGCACAACCCUUAUCACUGCCGUUAAGUAGCAAUACGGCCACUUCCUUCACCAACACAGACUUCUUGUUUCAGUAGCAGAUGAUUCUGCAAGUGCUGGAAAUCCGACGUGUACGUGCUGGAGGAACUCACCAGGUCAGGCAGCGUCUGUGGAGAGGGAUAAAGAGUCGACAUUUCAGCCGAGACCCUUCAUGAGAACUCUCCAUCGAUGCUGCCCGAGCUGUCAUCAUCUGGCCUGUCGGCACAUGUAGUAUCUCCAAAAUGCAAAGCAUCAGCUAUCUCCAAUAUCUGAAGUUUGUUGCCAAGAAUGGAAACCUUGAUCGUCUCACGGAGCGUUCGCAUCAGCCCACAGCCCUGACGACCUCAAGAGGAACGAUCUGGAGAUGGCAUCUGGUCACUUGCCCCCACCCCCCUCAACCUGGGGACGCCACUUACACUUUACGGUCAUUGAGCAACAUGCCAUUC